AGUGAACGCUGGCGGUAGGCCUAACACAUGCAAGUCGAACGGCAGCACAGUAAGAGCUUGCUCUUACGGGUGGCGAGUGGCGGACGGGUGAGGAAUACAUCGGAAUCUACUUUUUCGUGGGGGAUAACGUAGGUAAACUUACGCUAAUACCGCAUACGACCUACGGGUGAAAGCAGUGGAUCUUCGGACCUUGCGCGAUUGAAUGAGCCGAUGUCGGAUUAGCUAGUUGGCGGGGUAAAGGCCCACCAAGGCGACGAUCCGUAGCUGGUCUGAGAGGAUGAUCCGCCAGACUGGAACUGAGACACGGUCCAGACUCCUGCGGGAGGCAGCAGUGGGGAAUAUUGGACAAAGGGCGCAAGCCUGAUACAGCCAUACCGCGUGGGUGAAGAAGGCCUUCGGGUUGUAAAGCCAUUUUGUUGGGAAAGAAAAGCAGCAGGUUAAUACCCCGCUGUUCUGACGGUACCCAAAGAAUAAGCACCGGCUAACUUCGUG
This 492-nucleotide ribosomal RNA is filed under the name uncultured bacterium. RNAcentral's name for it is "partial 16S ribosomal RNA". It matches the Rfam family "Bacterial small subunit ribosomal RNA", at positions 29 to 507 of the family's 1533-position model. The record is from RNAcentral.